UUAGGAUGAGAAACAUAGCUGGCACCAGGCUGAGAAGAUUUGUACUCUUUACAUGCGGAACAGCUUUCCAGGGCUUUGAGCCUAUAAUCUGAA
Small nucleolar RNA from Capronia epimyces CBS 606.96, 93 nucleotides. It matches the Rfam family "A. fumigatus snoRNA Afu_190". Lineage: Eukaryota; Fungi; Ascomycota; Eurotiomycetes; Chaetothyriales; Herpotrichiellaceae. The record is from Rfam.